CCCAGAGGCACAGAGAGGGAUGUGCCAGGCAGAGCAGGAGCAGCCACGGCCGAGGCAGCGGGAGGAAAGGCCACAGAGGCUCCUUAUGAGAAGUUCCACUCCUUAUUCUUUGGAGCUGUCUCUUACAAGGAGAAGGAGGCUCUUGGUGACACCUUCCAGAGUUUGGUGACAGCCAGUGACACUGAGGAGGAGCUGGGUGCCUUGCAGAGCUCCCCGGUACUGUAGUGCAGGGGUGCAGGGACAGACAGUGAAGAGUGCAGUGCUUUGUCACUGCUGCUGUGACCUAGCAGCACAGAACGUUCUGGAAUUGUCAGUGCUCUUGUAAUGGCACAAAUUUAGGUCAUGACUGACUCUGUUGAGGUUUGUGUGUUCUGCAGGAACUGCUGGGGGUUCUGCUCUCAGAACGCUCUCACUAGAGAGAGGCUCAGUUUGAAUUCAAACUCUGCUACCACAUCAGGCAAAUGAAGCCACUGUUCUGGUUAAGGGUGCUGGAAAAAUAACCCAGCCCAGCUCCAGGAGAACUCAGGUUUUUACAGACUCUGUAGAACCGGGGUUUAACUGAAAAAACAAAGUUGUCACAGAACUGCAUUUUAAAAAAUAAAGUGUUUCAGACUUGCA
Molecule: long non-coding RNA, 618 nt
Organism: Parus major (Great Tit)
Lineage: Eukaryota; Metazoa; Chordata; Aves; Passeriformes; Paridae
Exons: 2
Source: RefSeq, a predicted model, not a curated record